UGAAAAGGCCAGCAGCCUCCACAGGACCA
This 29-nucleotide non-coding RNA is filed under the name Rattus norvegicus (Norway rat). Lineage: Eukaryota; Metazoa; Chordata; Mammalia; Rodentia; Muridae. The record is from RNAcentral.